This 714-nucleotide long non-coding RNA is filed under the name Monodelphis domestica (gray short-tailed opossum). RNAcentral describes it as "lncRNA (ENSMODG00000045487.1)". Lineage: Eukaryota; Metazoa; Chordata; Mammalia; Didelphimorphia; Didelphidae. The record is from RNAcentral.
UCCCAGUCCCUACCUCACAGGGCUGUUUGUGACUAAAGCACGUUGUAAAGCUCUGUAAAUAUAAUGUGUAUGUUUUUUAAGUGAGUCUCAGUUCCUGAUUUCUUUAGUGUGGGGAGCUGCUACUGUGAAAAUGUCCCCCACCAAUGCAAAUAUGCAAGUAGUCUGUAAUUCAUAGUCUCUGAGAGUUGCCUGAGAAAUUAGAUGAUAAAUCUGUAGUUACACAGCCAGCUUUCAUCAGGACCAAGGCUUAAACUUGAAUCAUCUGGGUUACAAGGGCUCUCUCAAUUAAGUCAUGCAGCCUAAAAGAAGUUUCCUUAAAACAUUUAUCCCCCCAGGACACAGUAGAAGGCUGGAUGUUGGAGACUGUAGAAAAGGGAGAUGCAGACGGGGAAAUGGAGUUUAGAAGAGGAGCAACUUAUUUAAGAAGCGGGUGCUAGUUAGCCGCAGACCCAUAACUAAAACCCAAUUACUUUCACCUAAAUCUUGUUGUCAUUUGAGAUAACGAAUCUUAGGGGUAUCCAGUGCCCAGAUUUCCUGAAAGGGGAAGGGGGGGGGGAAUCAUCAAACAAUACCGGCAUCUGUAACCCUCAUAGUCUCCUACGGCGUGUAGCUUUCCCACCAUUUUAUAUUAGGGAGAGUCAUUAUCAAACUGCAGUUCAUAUUGGCGUUUUUUCAAAGAAAACUGUACUUUGCCAUUGAAGAAAAAAAAAUGUG